Molecule: small nucleolar RNA, 138 nt
Organism: Suncus etruscus (white-toothed pygmy shrew)
Lineage: Eukaryota; Metazoa; Chordata; Mammalia; Eulipotyphla; Soricidae
Product: small nucleolar RNA SNORA70
Exons: 1
Source: RefSeq, a predicted model, not a curated record
GUGCAGCCAAUUAAGCCAAAUGUGCUCUCUGCCCCGUGGGAUCCGGUGUGCAAUAGUUGCAGACAGCAAGCAGCCACCUCAGUAGUGUAUGUAGCCUGUGGCUUGUAUGGGCUGUGAUAAAGGACCUUGGAGUCAGUC